AGAAAACUGCCUGGUGGAGCCUGGUUUAGUGCAGGAUUGCCACGUUCUGACCCUGGAGCAUCGUGUGCGGCUCUGCCCAGUCACAGCCCGCAGCGAGGUUGCUGCUGAUGCGCUGGCUGCGACGGACUGCCGAUGGCUCCACGACGAGGACGACAAUGACAAGCUCCAACGACGACAUACUUCUUCUUCGUCGUCGUCCGCUCCACAUUUAACUCGUCUCGUGAUGAGAAAAUCUUCAUUCGACUAGCUUAGCGCAUCAGAAUCUCGCCAGAAUAUCGCCGACCCCACAUCGACUCCCACGCUACGGAGGAGAUAGAAUGGAAAUGAAAAAAAGAAGAGAGUGAAAAAAAGGAACAGAAACUUGGUGGAAGUUCGCCGCCUUGGGUUAAUUGAGCCCCGAGUCCCUGGCUGGCUCCGGGUUUCAACCACUAAUACUUGAUUUUUGCAGAACAUCGCCAUGAUUUGCUGGGAAAUUUUUCAUCAAAAUCACAUCCUUGCGACGGACACAAGUCAUCCAGGGUCUAACCACGAGCAGCCAACGCCUGAAGUUUGAGGCCACGCCGUCUCGGACUAGCGGCCGCCUAGACACCGCCAGCGUGCAGCCAGGCUAAACUAGCUAUCUGU
Molecule: small RNA, 624 nt
Filed under: Histoplasma capsulatum
Lineage: Eukaryota; Fungi; Ascomycota; Eurotiomycetes; Onygenales; Ajellomycetaceae
Also listed under: 1 other name
Description: hypothetical RNA
Source: RNAcentral